UAAGAGAGUUUGAUCCUGGCUCAGAAUGAACGUUAAUAGUUGACUUAACACAUGCAAGUUAAACGAAUUUUUUCAAUUAUAAAUUAGUAGCGAACGGGUGAGUAAUAUAUAGAAAUUAACCUUAAGAUUUAGUUGAAUACUUAAAAUUUAUUUGUUUUAAGAAUAGUCUAUAAUAGGAUUAAGUAGUUGGUUAUUUAAAAGAUUACCAAGCUUAUGAUCCUUAGCUGAUCUUUGAGGAUGAACAGCCACAUUGGAAUUGAGAUAAGGUCCAAACUUUAUAUUUAAGGCAGCAGUGAGGAAUAUUGAGCAAUGAGCAAAAGCUUGACUCAGUUAAACUAUAUGUGUGAGGAAGGCAAUGUAUCGUAAAGCACUAAAACUUAUAACUAAUAAUGAUUAAAUGAGUAACAAUCCUGGCUAAUUUCGUGCCAGCAGCCGCGGUAAAACGGGAAGGGUUAACGUUAUUCGGAUUUAUUGGGCGUAAAGCAUAUUUAGGUGGAAAACUUUAUUACUUAUUUGAAUCUUAGAUUUAUUCUCUGAAUUUUUUCCAAUCAAAGUUUUCUGGAGUUUAAUUGAAGGUUAUGGAACUUUAAGUGUAACGGUAAAAUGUUUUAAUAUUUAAAAGAACUUCGAUAGCGCAAGCAAUAACCUAAAUUAAUACUGACACUACAAUAUUAAAGUGUGGGUAGCGAAAGGGAUUAGAUACCCCUGUAGUCCACACCCUGAACGAUGAGUGCUUAUUAUUGAAUUCUUUUCAUUAAUUUAGCUAACGCCUUAAGCACUUCGCCUGGGGACUACGAUUGCAAAAUUAAAACCCAAAGGAAUUGACGGGAACCUACACAAGCAGUGGAGCAUGUGGUUUAAAUCGAUAAUACGCGCGAAAUCUUACCAACUUUUGCAUAAUUUAAUUACAGGUGUUGCAUGGCUGUCGUCAGUCCGUGUCUUAAGACGUUUGGUUUAUUCCAAUAAACGGACAAAACUUUUAUGCAUUUUGGAAUGCAAACUAUCAAAGAUAUUUUGGAGGAAGUUGAAAAUGACGUCAAGUCUUCAUGACCCUUAUAAGUUGGGCUACUCUCAUGUGCUACGAUAGUUCUUUUAACAAGAAGCAAAGAAGUAAAUCUGAGCAAACCUUAAAUUGGAACUUUAGUCGGAUUAUUUUCUGAAACUCGAAAAUAUGAAGUUGGAAUUGCUAGUAAUCGUGAAUAAGAACGUUGCGGUGAAUAGAUUCUUAGGUUUUGUACACACCGCCCGUCACGCUAUGGAAAUUCUUAUUACUAGAAGCUUAUUAAUAUAUAAUUUAAGGUAAUAGAAAAACUGAAGUGAAGUCGUAACAAGGUAGCCGUAGGGGAACCUGCUGCUGGACAAAAAU
RNAcentral lists this ribosomal RNA (1366 nucleotides) under Mimica arnoldii. Its description in RNAcentral is "SSU rRNA". It matches the Rfam family "Bacterial small subunit ribosomal RNA". The record is from RNAcentral. Lineage: Eukaryota; Rhodophyta; Florideophyceae; Gigartinales; Solieriaceae.